GCUCUUUCUUCUGCCGUGUACUCCUCUCCUUGUCUGCGUUCGCUUCUUCCUCCCAACUGCCUGCGCCGUCCCCAACCUGCUCCCUCACUCCUCCACCACUCCUCUCCCUCUCUUCUCCUCGCGCGGAGCUGCAACGGCUAGGCCGAACAGCGGCCCCGGCGGGUCAGGCGCCGGCUGCUCGCCUCAGCUUGGCUCCGGAGGAGCGCGCUGCCGUCGUCCUCUCCCUCCCACCCAUGGCGGCGCGCAGCCAUCCUCCCUCCCUCCCCGGCGCGCUGCCGGCCUGCGUGAGCUCGGCUCCAUCCCUCCUCACCGCGCGCUCCCCGGCCAUGGCAGCGAGGCCGGCCCUCCCCUCCCCUCCCCGCGCCAUCCCUCUCCCUGUUGGCCGUCCACGAGCCGUCCACGACAGAACGGCGCACGGCGAGGCUGGCGCCCAAACGCGGCAGUGGCCCGUGCGGGGCCAUGGCGGCGGCCGCCGUGCUCCGCACCGGAACCCUGCAGCGAGCCAACGCCGAGCUCCGCCUCCACGCGCAGUCAACGAGACCAGCAGCAGCGAAUACCUCCGCUUUGGGAGUCCGGCGGCCGGAUCCGCCCUAAACCUCGGCGGAUCUACGCCUUCCUUGGCCGGAUCUGCUUCAGCGCACUCCCCUUUCCUGCAGCCACCGCCGUCACGCACGCCGGCUUAUGGCUGCGGCCGCGGUCGCUGUCAAGCGUGCCGGCUGCGUCCUCCGGCUACCGCCCUCACCCGCGCCGGUUGCGGCCUCCGGCGGCCGCCGGGCCCCGCGGCCGGAGCCUCCCAAGAGCGGCCCCGCGGCUGCUGCCUCACAAGAUCCGCUCCAUCCCUCGCGGAUCCGCCUGCUAUCGCGCGCUGGUCUGAUUCCUGGCUUCCUCCUCAGCGCCUUGUUCGACGUUGUGGUCUUCUUCCUCAGCGGCCUGUCUGCCGUCCGCCAUUGCUGUCCGCCCAGAACUCCUGAAUCUCAGGUGCGCCCCUCCGUUUUUUACUGGUCAUCUCUUCCUGGUCGCCCCCUUUCAUUUUGUUCCAAGAACCAGCCUAGAGACAGUAAACGAGGAGUCCACUUUACUGCAGCAGACGAGAACAAAGGUUGAAACUAAUGGUCAGGUUGUACCUGGCCCUGAAUAUGAAAGUCCUAACCUGAAUGGCUCCAUUGGAACCUCCUCUCCUCAGGAGCACCUGACAGGUCAUUGUAAUCUCACCUCUUUGAUUUACCAAAAAAAAUGUUGUCACGCACAAAGAUCUGAAUGCAGUAAAAAGGUUAACUAAUAUUCAGUAGUACUGGUAUUCUGCUUCUACCACUAGCACAGCAUUGCUCAAACGAACUACCUUUCCUGCAUUUUAGGUACCACUAAUACGACAUAGACUGUGCCUCUUAGCUAACUACGCUGACCAUUUGCUCCUCUCAGUAUUAGGUUCCUAAGCCAGAAUUCAAUUUAUGCUUCACUUACUCACUAUACUUAAGAAAUAGAAUGCUAUUACAAUCACCGAUGUUGUAUCUUCUUCUAACUAGACCACCUUUUUCUUGUGCACCAUUAAGACCACCAAAGUAGAUUUGGGAGGUAGUACUCCCAUGCUGUUCAAGACAUUUACAGGUACUAUGAGCUACUUUCUUCAAACUUUAUUAAUCAUAUGAGUUCUUGGGCCAGAUGUAGUUGAUCCAGGCAUGCAGCUGUUAUUCAUUUUAUACUUGAAAAAUAAAAUGAACUACCAAAGGUUAUAAGACACAGAUACUCUUUCCCAUAUAUGCGCAUGAUUAUUAUUCAGUUUAGGAAAUGCUUUGGGUAAUACGACACCGAUAUUCUUUCCCAUAUAUGUGCAUGAUUACUAUUAAGUUUAGGAAGCGCUCUGUUGGUCCAGAAUUUCUGUUGAUAUGAACAAAUAUUCCUUUUCAUAUAUGUGAAUGACUAUUGCCUAUUGCACAAACACAAGUAUUAGUUGUAUUAAUGGUUCCCAGCAUGUUUAAACAUUUAUAGUGCUAAGACACUGCAUUAGGCCUCCAAGUAUAUUUGCUACUCAUGCUUGCUUCACCCUUCAUUUAGUGAAACAUUGUCAGGCCCAAUUUGUUGUAGUACAUAAAAUGUAUCUGUAGAUGCACAGCUAAAACUAUAUUUUGAGGGACUGAUCAUGCGGUUUUUUACUCUGCUGAAACUGAAAUAUUAGAAUGAGAUGUCCAGCAACAAAAAAAAAUGCCCAUUGAGAUAGCUAAAAUAGCAUAAGCAAUUUUACUUCUUUACCAAGCUUUUCUUGCUAUGGUCAUGUAGUGAAUUGAUGUAAACACGUGCAUAUUACGUUUAUCCUCAGGGAAAUAUUUGAUAUAAACAAAAAAAUUAUUUCCUUCAAGGACUGGUUCCUUUUCAGUGAUCAACACAAAAAUUGCAGGUAAGGAAUUGCUGGAUUCGAGCGCCAAGGUAAAUCCCCUCCGCUCCAUUCCUUCCUGGCAUUUCCUAGGUAAAGUAAGACCAUCCCUCCCAAUAUUUGUUUUAAUUCUUCCACUAACAGAGAUGCAUGGAGCAGUAUGCUGAAAUCUUUUCGCAAGUUGUCGCUGUUCAAAAGUAUGGAACAAUCCCUUAUGAAUGAUUUGAUGAUUUUAUUUGUCUAGAUGAGUACCUGUUCAUAAUCUAGAUAUGCAUGAUUACAGUAAGCUUACAAUUUGGAAAUGUUUCUUUCUUGACAAAAUACCUUUAUUCAGAUUAUUUAGAUGAACUAAUGGAGCAUGCUUAUAUAUUAGAAUAAUUGAUAACUCGCCAACAUUAGGGGCCACUUUCCUUUUGUUUUGCUGCUGGGCUGCCAUUGAUGGCUUCUAUAUAUUUUCCUAAAAAUAACAUAGCUUCGUCCCUUUCCUACAAUUACUUAUUUGAUUCAUAUAUUAUUUUCCCCUCUCUUUUCAUAUCCACUAAGGUAUGAUGAAGAUUUCCUAAUUUCUGUGUCGGACUACUUGAUCAAGUAGUCCAUGUUUGCUAUACAUAUGGUAAAAUCUUUAAAAUAAACUUGGAAUGUUGCCUUAAACUCGAUUAUACCAUUCUCACUUCCUUGUUCUUAACCCAUUUGCUUGUGAACCUAUGCAGAAUCAAAGCAAGGAAAAAAAAAGACUGCCAUUCUACUGUAUUUGAAAGACUUGAUGGUGUCAUGCCCCUCCUGCGCCUACAACACUAGACCUGUACCUGGCGGCCUCCAAUUUUGACUGCCCUGCCUUCUUUUCCCAUCUGGUCCGGUGCAGGCAAGGAAGGGGGCGUCUCUUGCAUCAUGGAGUCUCUGGUUCACAUUCUGUUCCUUCCCCAGCUCCUCCACAUGAUUCAGAUGUUCUCAUAAUGUGCUGCUUCUACCCUCCCUCCAUUGCAAGGGAAAAAAUAUGCCGCUGCUUUGGCCCCGUUCCUCAUAAGUCAAAAAGGUCAAGCGCUACACAAGGGUGCAUAAAUAAGCACUGAUUAUCUCUAACAAGCAGCAUGCUAGACUCCUUCGCCCUCCUAUAGAGCUUUCAGUGAUUCUUUACAGCAUGCAUACUGUUAAUCCAGAUUUUAUUACUUUCCCCAGGCCUCUAACUUAAUUAUAGUACUAAUAUUUCUUGCAUUAUAAUAUUACAUGAUACUAUUUACAUUAUAAUA
Molecule: RNA transcript, 3615 nt
Organism: Panicum virgatum (switchgrass)
Lineage: Eukaryota; Viridiplantae; Streptophyta; Magnoliopsida; Poales; Poaceae
Exons: 4
Source: RefSeq, a predicted model, not a curated record